Non-coding RNA from Triticum urartu, 126 nucleotides. NCBI's taxonomy places the organism in Eukaryota, Viridiplantae, Streptophyta, Magnoliopsida, Poales, Poaceae. The record is from Rfam.
AUAGUACGCCCUCUGUCCAAAAAAGUUUGUCCCUCGAAUGGACGUAUCUAGUAUCAAGUUAGUGCUACAUACAUCCAUUUGAGGAACAAGCUUGGGACAAGCUUUUUCGGACGGAGGGAGUAUAGA